This 253-nucleotide ribosomal RNA is filed under the name uncultured bacterium. RNAcentral's name for it is "partial 16S ribosomal RNA". It matches the Rfam family "Bacterial small subunit ribosomal RNA", at positions 524 to 776 of the family's 1533-position model. The record is from RNAcentral.
UACGGAGGGUGCAAGCGUUGUUCGGAAUCAUUGGGCGUAAAGCGCGUGUAGGCGGCUUGGCAAGUCGGUUGUGAAAGCCCGGGGCCCAACCCCGGAACUGCAUCUGAAACUGCCUGGCUAGAGUCCCGGAGAGGAAGGCAGAAUUCCCGGUGUAGGGGUGAAAUCCGUAGAUAUCGGGAGGAAUACCAGCGGCGAAGGCGGCCUUCUGGACGGUGACUGACGCUGAGACGCGAAAGCGUGGGGAGCGAUCCGG